UAGCGUUGUUCGGAAUGACUGGGCGUAAAGGGUGUGUAGGCGGUUGGGCACGUCAGAUGUGAAAUCCCUGGGCUUAACCUGGAAAUGGCAUUUGAUACGGCAUAGCUAGAGAUUGGUAGAGGGUAGUGGAAUUGCGAGUGUAGAGGUGAAAUUCGUGGAGAUUCGCAGGAACACCGGUGGCGAAGGCGGCUACCUGACGCUGAGACACGAAAGCGUGGGAGCACACAGG
Molecule: ribosomal RNA, 229 nt
Filed under: uncultured bacterium
Lineage: Bacteria
Description: partial 16S ribosomal RNA
Rfam family: Bacterial small subunit ribosomal RNA
Source: RNAcentral